Molecule: ribosomal RNA, 686 nt
Filed under: uncultured bacterium
Lineage: Bacteria
Description: bacterial SSU rRNA
Rfam family: Bacterial small subunit ribosomal RNA
Source: RNAcentral
AACGCUAGCUACAGGCUUAACACAUGCAAGUCGAGGGGAAACGACAUCGAAAGCUUGCUUUUGAUGGGCGUCGACCGGCGCACGGGUGAGUAACGCGUAUCCAACCUGCCCAUCACUUGGGGAUAACCUUGCGAAAGUAAGACUAAUACCCAAUGACGUCUCUAGAAGACAUCUGAAGGAGAUUAAAGAUUUAUCGGUGAUGGAUGGGGAUGCGUCUGAUUAGCUUGUUGGCGGGGUAACGGCCCACCAAGGCGACGAUCAGUAGGGGUUCUGAGAGGAAGGUCCCCCACAUUGGAACUGAGACACGGUCCAAACUCCUACGGGAGGCAGCAGUGAGGAAUAUUGGUCAAUGGACGAGAGUCUGAACCAGCCAAGUAGCGUGCAGGAUGACGGCCCUAUGGGUUGUAAACUGCUUUUAUAAGGGAAUAAAGUUAGUCUCGUGAGACUUUUUGCAUGUACCUUAUGAAUAAGGACCGGCUAAUUCCGUGCCAGCAGCCGCGGUAAUACGGAAGGUCCGGGCGUUAUCCGGAUUUAUUGGGUUUAAAGGGAGCGUAGGCCGGAGAUUAAGCGUGUUGUGAAAUGUAGACGCUCAUCGUCUGCACUGCAGCGCGAACUGGUUUCCUUGAGUACGCACAAAGUGGGCGGAAUUCGUGGUGUAGCGGUGAAAUGCUUAGAUAUCACGAAGA